CCGCGUUGGCCCGGGUAUGACGGUCUGGUAGUGGCUGCUGGCGAGUGCUCGAGACCGGCGGCAGGCGAGGCAGCUCUGCGGCGCUAGCGAUCGGAGAGGCUUUGAGAGAGGCUUCUGGAGGGAGAGAGAGGCUCCGGGAGUGAAAGAGAGGCUCCGGAGGUGAGCGAGAGGCUCCGGGAGUGAAAGAGAUAAACUCCGGGAGUGAGCGAGAGGCUCCGGGAGUGAGGGAGAGGCUUCAGUUAAAGAGAAAAAAAGAGGCUUCGGGCCUUCCCGAGGCGCUGGUCUUGUAUUCCCUCGGCGUCGCCUUCCCCGAGACUGACGAUCUGUGACCAUUUUUUUUUUCCUCUCUCUCUCUCUCUCUUUCUUUUUCUUGAGACGCAAUGUUACGGAAAUACUGUUGCUUCAUCUAAGUAAAAAAAAUUACGUCUUUUUGACGCUAUUUCUAAAACCACAUCCCUGAAAUGGAUAUUACGGAUGUCAUCGGCGCGCUGGUCGAAGUCACAGGAAAAAAGUGCCAUGACAGACUUCAAUAAACUACGCCGAAGGAACUGGUAAUCGGAGAUAAACAAAAACUUUUAUCGAACAGUUCAAAGUCAUCCGGGUCACAACAUCCCCUCCUCGUUUGGCUUCUGAACUGGCAGGUUAUCGCCGCUGGGGUAGCUUUCUGACUACUUAGAGAUAGACGGAGUUGAUAACUUCAUUAGCUAAAGGUAAAUAGAUCAAUCUUUCACGACAUCUCCAUCUACUUUUCUCUCUCUCUCUCUCACUCUCUCUCUCUCUCUCUCUCUCUCUCUCUCUCUCUCUCUC
This 807-nucleotide long non-coding RNA is filed under the name Penaeus japonicus. RNAcentral describes it as "uncharacterized LOC122256637". The record is from RNAcentral. Lineage: Eukaryota; Metazoa; Arthropoda; Malacostraca; Decapoda; Penaeidae.